GGUCGUAUCUCAGUGGUAGAGUGGUUACCUGCUAUGUAGAAGGCCCUGGGUUCAAUCCCCAAGACCA
Heterocephalus glaber (naked mole-rat) is the source of this 67-nucleotide non-coding RNA. The record is from Rfam. NCBI's taxonomy places the organism in Eukaryota, Metazoa, Chordata, Mammalia, Rodentia, Bathyergidae.